AUAAAUGUUGUUGACACUUCUCUUACUUGUAUUUGACUCGCUUCUGUUGUUUAUUUACUUUAUAAGAAUGGUUUAAUGUCUUCGAAAAAGUCCGUUAGCAUUUCUACCGUUUUCAGACGACGUAUCGUCAGAAGGCAGUGUCCAAGAUUUCAAUAUUUCUGAAGGGAGCUGCUGACAGAGAUGUAGGAAGCGCUGAAAAGGUUAAGUAACCUAAUAUGCAUUUUUUUCACAACAUAUAUCACAUUGAAUCUGUUAUUUUAUUUAUUUAUUUUUUGCAUUUCACCUGCUCUAGCUUGUUUCCAUCUAAUAAACCUGGAACUGCAGACUAAAUAUUGUUGGCUCUGUGUCAAAUUGCUUGUUUUGUUCCUAGAUUCUUCAGUGCUUCUUCAUGGCAUGCUGCAUCCAGCAGAGUCGGAGUGAACCUACUGUAAGACAACAUCUCAAAGAUGCUAUUGACCACAAGACUAGUACACUGUAUUUUCAGCAUCAUUCCUCCAGUCUUUAGUGUCACAUGGAUCCCUCAGAAAUGCUGAUUUGCUGCUCAAGAAACUUAUUAUCAGCGUUGAAACAGUUGUGCUGCUUCAUUUUUUUUUGUGGAAACCGUGAUGCAUUUUAUUUUUCAGGAUUCACAGAUGAAUACAAAGUUCAAAAGACCUGCAUUUAUUUGAAACAGAUGAUUUUGAACAAUUUGAUGCAUGUAACACUAACAUUCAAAUGUUUGGAGUCUAUGUAACAACGAAUCCAAAAAAAAAAAUUUCAGCACGUCUGUAUUUUAACAUUGAUCAUAAUCAGAAAUGUUUCUUGAGCAGUAAAUCAUCAUAUUAGAAUGAUGUCUGAAGAUGUGACACUGAAGACUGGAGUAAUGAUGCUGAAAAUUCAGCUUUGACCAAAGGAAUAAAUGACAUUUUAACAUAAUAUUCACAUAGAAAAUAGUUGUUUUGAAUUGUAAUAGUCACAGUGUUACUAUUUUACUGUAAUUUGAUUCAAUAAAUGGAGCUGUGGUGAGCAUAAGAGAUUUUUUAUAAAGGCAUAAAAUAUCUUACAGACCCCAAACUCUUGAAUGGUUGUGUAAAUUACAGUUAUGAUGUUCCUCCCAGUUAAAUUUUAUUAAAAUGUAUUAAAUGUUACUCUGGCAUAUGCAGUCCAUUCUAUAGACUGUGUCUGUUCCCCAAAAACAGACAACAAAUAAUAUGUUUAUUAAGUGAUCUAGAAAAAUUAUUUCAGUUUAAACCUACUAGAUUAAAAACAGUACUCAAUGUACUCCAUUGAUGAAAUAGUAAAAAGUGCACACUGCCUGAAAUGAUAUGAACAGCAGCUAUGCUAAUCUUUCUCCCUUUGUC
This is a long non-coding RNA of Carassius carassius (crucian carp), 1340 nucleotides long. RefSeq lists it as uncharacterized. The transcript is spliced from 3 exons. The record is from RefSeq and is a predicted model, not a curated record. NCBI's taxonomy places the organism in Eukaryota, Metazoa, Chordata, Actinopteri, Cypriniformes, Cyprinidae.